RNAcentral lists this ribosomal RNA (1406 nucleotides) under uncultured bacterium. RNAcentral's name for it is "bacterial SSU rRNA". It matches the Rfam family "Bacterial small subunit ribosomal RNA". The record is from RNAcentral.
AGAGUUUGAUCCUGGCUCAGAACGAACGCUGGCGGCGUGGAUCAGGCAUGCAAGUCGAGCGAUCUCGCAAGAGAUAGCGGCAGAAGGGUUAGUAACGCGUGGGCAAUCUGCCCUUGAGUUGGGGAUAACCUCCCGAAAGGGGGGCUAAUACCGGAUGACAUUUUUUGGUCGCAUGACCGAAAAAUCAAAGGUGGCCGCAAGGCUAUCGCUUAAGGAUGGGCCCGCGUCCUAUCAGCUAGUUGGUGAGGUAACGGCUCACCAAGGCGUUUGACGGGUAGCUGGUCUUAGAGGAUGACCAGCAACACUGGGACUGAGAUACUGCCCAGACUCCUACGGGAGGCUGCAGUCGAGAAUCUUUAUCAAUGCCCGAAAGGGUGAAUAUGCGACGCCGCGUGCAGGAUGACGGCCUUCGGGUUGUAAACUGCUGUCAGGGGUGAGGAAAAUUUACGUGUUAAUACCACGUGAACUGACGUUAACCCCAAAGGAAGCCACGGCUAACUCUGUGCCAGCAGCCGCGGUAAUACAGAGGUGGCAAGCGUUGUUCGGAUUUAUUGGGUGUAAAGGGCAGGUAGGCGGUUCAGUAAGUCUGUUGUGAAAUCCCGGGGCUCAACCCCGGAACUGCAACGGAAACUACUGAGCUGGAGCGAUGUAGAGGUGAGGGGAAUUCUCGGUGUAAGGGUGAAAUCUGUAGAUAUCGAGAGGAACACCAAUGGCGAANGCACCUCACUGGACAUUUGCCGACGCUGAGCUGCGAAAGUAGGGGGAGCAAACAGGAUUAGAUACCCUGGUAGUCCCUACCGUAAACGAUGUAGAUUAGGUGUCGGGGGAGUCGAACCCUUCGGUGCCGCAGUUAACACAUUAAAUCUACCACCUGGGGAGUACGGUCGCAAGACUGAAACUCAAAGAAAUUGACGGGGACCCGCACAAGCGGUGGAGCAUGUGGUUUAAUUCGAGGCUACGCGAGGAACCUUACCUAGGCUUGACAUGAUAGCAGUAGGUGGGAUGAAAGUCCUGCCGAUCGUAUCCAAUCGAAGGCUAACACAGGUGCUGCAUGGCUGUCGUCAGCUCGUGCUGUGAAGUGUUGGGUUAAGUCCCGCAACGAGCGCAACCAUUACCCCUAGUUGCCAACAGGUAAAGCUGGGAACUCUAGGGGGACUGCCGAUGAUAAAUCGGAGGAAGGUGGAGAUGACGUCAAGUCAGCAUGGCCCUUACGCCUAGGGCGACACACGUGCUACAAUGGUCGGUACAAUGGGCUGCGAACCCGCGAGGGGGAGCCAAUCCCAAAAAGCCGGCCCCAGUUCGGAUUGCAGGUUGCAAUUCGCCUGCAUGAAGCUGGAAUCGCUAGUAAUGGCAUAUCAGCCACGAUGCCGUGAAUACGUUCCCGGGUCUUGUACACACCGCCCGUC